CUUUGGUGGGCUUUUUGGGAGGAGAAUAGAAGAGGAAGGAUGUGCUGGAUGCGCCCUGGUCGACCACUGUGAUCUUACUGUUAGAGUAAAGAGAAGUUCCUCAGCCUGAGGUGGAAGAUGUUUUCAGGAGCUGCAAGACCAUUGGGCAAAACUUUCUUAUAUUUUAUAAUUAUCCUUUUUGAAGUAGUUGUAAAGAUACAGCAAGCCAUGAAACAAAGAAAAGGAAGAUCAGAGGGAUCUUGGGGUCUGAGCCCAUAGGAUGCUCAAAGCAGCUGCGCAGGUUGACACUGCGGCUGGUCUUUAUUGCCACAAGGAACCCUUCUGUUUCUGGGAAGAGUUCUCCAAAUCUGAGCGAGCCUGGCAUUCAACACUUCCUUGUCAACAUCUAAUCUGCUCAGGUCAUUGGGAUGUCGUCCAUGGAGGGUCAAGCUCUUCUAUUGGUUAAUGUUUUCUUCAAUAGUGAUAAUUUCUUCAUUUUUCUGGGUUGUGCUUUAAUUUAAGUUUACUUCUUAUCAGACUUACAUAUGCUCAAUUGGAGUGCUGAAUCCUGUUUUUGUUGAUGAAAAUAUAUCCUUAGAAGCUUUAUUUGACUGCUGUGUAAAUUUUUUAAUGUCUAUUAUUCCUUUUCCUCCUUCUGUCCUAAGUAGUGUUAAUCUAAGUGUG
This is a long non-coding RNA of Mobula hypostoma (lesser devil ray), 663 nucleotides long. RefSeq lists it as uncharacterized. NCBI's taxonomy places the organism in Eukaryota, Metazoa, Chordata, Chondrichthyes, Myliobatiformes, Myliobatidae. The transcript is spliced from 4 exons. The record is from RefSeq and is a predicted model, not a curated record.